UACGAAGGGUGCAAGCGUUACUCGGAAUUACUGGGCGUAAAGGGUGCGUAGGUGGUUCGUUAAGUCUGAUGUGAAAGCCCUGGGCUCAACCUGGGAAUUGCAUUGGAUACUGGCGGGCUGGAGUGCGGUAGAGGGUAGUGGAAUUCCCGGUGUAGCAGUGAAAUGCGUAGAUAUCGGGAGGAACAUCCGUGGCGAAGGCGACUGCCUGGACCAGCACUGACACUGAGGCACGAAAGCGUGGGGAGCAAACAGGAUUAGAUACCCU
This 265-nucleotide ribosomal RNA is filed under the name uncultured prokaryote. Its description in RNAcentral is "partial 16S ribosomal RNA". It matches the Rfam family "Bacterial small subunit ribosomal RNA", at positions 524 to 788 of the family's 1533-position model. The record is from RNAcentral.